This 405-nucleotide unclassified non-coding RNA is filed under the name soil metagenome. RNAcentral's name for it is "partial contains 5.8S ribosomal RNA, internal transcribed spacer 2, and large subunit ribosomal RNA". The stretch from base 1 to 121 matches the Rfam family "5.8S ribosomal RNA", at positions 35 to 154 of the family's 154-position model. The record is from RNAcentral.
GAUGAAGAACGUAGCGAAAUGCGAUAAGUGAUGUGAAUUGCAGAAUUCAGUGAAUCAUCGAAUCUUUGAACGCACCUUGCGCCCUUUGGCCAUUCCGAAGGGCAUGCCUGUUUGAGUAUCAUGAACACCUCAACUCUUUAUGGUUUUCCAUGAUGAGCUUGGACUCUGGGGGUUUUGCUGGCUCACAGUCGGCUCCUCUAAAAUGAAUCAGCUUACCAGUGUUUGGUGGGUAUCAUGGGUGUGAUAACUAUCUACGCUUGUGGUUUUUCCACCAGGUAACCUUCAGCAGUGGAGGUUCGCUGGAGCUCAUAGAUGUCUCUCCUCAGUGAGGACAGCCCUUUGAAUGUUUGAUCUCAAAUCAGGUAGGACUACCCGCUGAACUUAAGCAUAUCAAUAAGCGGAGGA